Carya illinoinensis is the source of this 549-nucleotide long non-coding RNA. RefSeq lists it as uncharacterized. Lineage: Eukaryota; Viridiplantae; Streptophyta; Magnoliopsida; Fagales; Juglandaceae. The transcript has 2 exons. The record is from RefSeq and is a predicted model, not a curated record.
GUUACUUUAAACCAUAUAGUCCAAUACCUCUAGCCAUCAUUCGUCUCGUCAUUUAUUGCCUCUGUCUUGCUUUGUUUUUGUUCUUCUCUAGCUAUUGUAGCGCUUGAUCAACCAUGGCAACCAUUUCCAAGCUCACCACACCGAGCCCUGCAGCUUUUGCAUCUACUUUGAAACCUAGAUCUUCGUAGCGGAAGCACUUUGAUCAGAUUCUAUAGUGGAAGCACUUUCAGUAAUCUCUAGAAAAACAGGGAAGAGUUGAAUGCUAAAAUUGAGGAGUUUAAUCGAGAGGUUCUUGGUUUAAAUGUUGAUUGAUACAAGAGUCAUUUGAUUGUUUGCUUUACAAAGUAGUGAUUUGGGAGUUAUUACGAAUCUAGAUAAGGUGUCACACAUGUCUCCUUGUUAGUUUUCUAAUAUGCCAGUAAAUAAAUAAUUUUUGUUUCUAUGCAUAGGUAGUUUCUUUCCACCUUUUUGGUUUACAAAGAAGGGAUGAAUGUUUAGUUUAUUAAAUGAUAAUUGAGUGGUACGAAUUAUUGUUUUGCCAAUGUUGAA